CCCGCUGAACUUAAGCAUAUCAGUAAGCGGAGGAAAAGAAACUAACAAGGAUUCCCCCAGUAACGGCGAGUGAACAGGGACCAGUCCAGCGCUGAAUCUCGACGCUUAGGCGUCGCGACGUGUAGCGUAUAGGCGGUUCGCUUGGCUGUGGCCGAAGGCGCAAGUUUCCCAUGACCGGGGCACCAAAGAAGGUGAUAGACCUGUAGCGCUUGAGGCCUAUGCCGAUUGAGCUGUCUUGGAGUCGGGUUGUUUGGGAUCGCAGCCCAAAGCAGGUGGUAAACUUCAUCUAAGACUAAAUAUUCCUACGAGACCGAUAGCGAACAAGUACCGUGAGGGAAAGUUGAAAAGCACUUUGAAGAGAGAGUUAAAGAGGACGUGAAACCGGUGGGAUGGAAACGGAUAGAGCUAGCGAACUCGCUCGUAUUCAACCGAAGACGUCGUGGUCGCCCGCUAUCGAGUUGCUAAUCACGCUCGGCGGUGGACCGGCUGCGCGUUCAGGUGCAUUUGCGGGCGUAUGCGCUGAGACUUGUGAGACAGCUGCUGAAUGCGUGUCUAGAGGCCUCCCUUCGGGAGGAACCUGGUCGCGGCGACGGUUGUUUGUCUUGCUCGUAUGGGUACGGCCUACGGGCCUGUGCUUUGCCGUCGUCUUCUUGCCAUGGUAUCGCAUGCGAUGCCUAGUUUGGGGGCGGCGGUUUGGUUCGGAGUUCCCGUGCCCGCUCUUGGUGUAGAAGCUGGUCAUCUCUCCGACCCGUCUUGAAACACGG
RNAcentral lists this ribosomal RNA (764 nucleotides) under uncultured fungus. RNAcentral describes it as "eukaryotic LSU rRNA". It matches the Rfam family "Eukaryotic large subunit ribosomal RNA", at positions 24 to 664 of the family's 3401-position model. Lineage: Eukaryota; Fungi. The record is from RNAcentral.